GUGGGGUGAGUUUAAGAAUUGCAUGUCGAUAGAAUAUGAUUGAGUUCAUGUAUAUAGGAUUCCAGGUUUACUCGUAGGUUCAUUACAUGAUGAAAAAGAAGCACAUCAUUCUAUUCGGGACUACUUGGACAUCACCAUAAAUCAGGUAAAUAGCUUUCUAAGCCUCUUUUUGAUCAUAAAUUAUUAUUUUGAAAGCUUUUUAUAUAGGCUAAACAGAGUAUAAAGUUAGACAGGUUAAUCUGACUUAUUUACUAAAUAGGUUAAAUG
RNAcentral lists this long non-coding RNA (267 nucleotides) under Elaeis guineensis (African oil palm). RNAcentral's name for it is "long non-coding RNA (EGUI_LNC073893)". The record is from RNAcentral. Lineage: Eukaryota; Viridiplantae; Streptophyta; Magnoliopsida; Arecales; Arecaceae.